AAAAUUAUCUGGCAGGGGAGAUACCAUGAUCACAAAGGUGGUUUUCCCAGGACGAGGUUUAUUCAUUGCACUCUGGGUAUGCUGACCCAUGCGAUUUCCCCAAAUGUGGGAAACUCGACUGCAUAAUUUGUGGUAUGGAAAACUGUGUUCACGCUCUCCCC
RNAcentral lists this small nuclear RNA (161 nucleotides) under Carlito syrichta (Philippine tarsier). Its description in RNAcentral is "U1 spliceosomal RNA (ENSTSYG00000036369.1)". It matches the Rfam family "U1 spliceosomal RNA". Rfam says of the family: U1 is a small nuclear RNA (snRNA) component of the spliceosome (involved in pre-mRNA splicing). Its 5' end forms complementary base pairs with the 5' splice junction, thus defining the 5' donor site of an intron. The record is from Rfam by way of RNAcentral. Lineage: Eukaryota; Metazoa; Chordata; Mammalia; Primates; Tarsiidae.